Molecule: ribosomal RNA, 458 nt
Filed under: uncultured Streptococcus sp.
Lineage: Bacteria; Bacillati; Bacillota; Bacilli; Lactobacillales; Streptococcaceae
Description: partial 16S ribosomal RNA
Rfam family: Bacterial small subunit ribosomal RNA
Source: RNAcentral
ACGGAAGGCAGCAGUAGGGAAUCUUCGGCAAUGGGGGCAACCCUGACCGAGCAACGCCGCGUGAGUGAAGAAGGUUUUCGGAUCGUAAAGCUCUGUUGUAAGAGAAGAACGUGUGUGAGAGUGGAAAGUUCACACAGUGACGGUAACUUACCAGAAAGGGACGGCUAACUACGUGCCAGCAGCCGCGGUGGUACGUAGGUCCCGAGCGUUGUCCGGAUUUAUUGGGCGUAAAGCGAGCGCAGGCGGUUUAAUAAGUCUGAAGUUAAAGGCAGUGGCUUAACCAUUGUUCGCUUUGGAAACUGUUGGACUUGAGUGCAGAAGGGGAGAGUGGAAUUCCAUGUGUAGCGGUGAAAUGCGUAGAUAUAUGGAGGAACACCGGUGGCGAAAGCGGCUCUCUGGUCUGUAACUGACGCUGAGGCUCGAAAGCGUGGGGAGCAAACAGGAUUAGAUACCAUGUA